This 669-nucleotide ribosomal RNA is filed under the name uncultured Bacteroidota bacterium. RNAcentral describes it as "bacterial SSU rRNA". It matches the Rfam family "Bacterial small subunit ribosomal RNA", at positions 39 to 701 of the family's 1533-position model. The record is from RNAcentral. Lineage: Bacteria; Pseudomonadati; Bacteroidota.
GCUACAGGCUUAACACAUGCAAGUCGAGGGGCAGCACAAGGCAGCAAUGCUGAGGUGGCGACCGGCGCACGGGUGCGUAACGCGUAUCCAACCUUCCCGUUACUCAUGGAUAGCCUUCCGAAAGGGAGAUUAAUACAUGAUGGUGUUGAAAUUCCGCAUGUUAUUUCAACUAAAGAUUUAUCGGUAACGGAUGGGGAUGCGUGACAUUAGAUAGUAGGCGGGGUAACGGCCCACCUAGUCUACGAUGUCUAGGGGUUCUGAGAGGAAGGUCCCCCACACUGGAACUGAGACACGGUCCAGACUCCUACGGGAGGCAGCAGUGAGGAAUAUUGGUCAAUGGGCGCAAGCCUGAACCAGCCAAGUAGCGUGAAGGAUGACUGCCCUAUGGGUUGUAAACUUCUUUUAUAUGGGAACAAUGUGCUCUACGUGUAGAGUUUUGCGUGUACCAUAUGAAUAAGCAUCGGCUAACUCCGUGCCAGCAGCCGCGGUAAUACGGAGGAUGCAAGCGUUAUCCGGAUUUAUUGGGUUUAAAGGGAGCGUAGGUGGUUUGUUAAGCCAGCUGUGAAAUACUGUAGCUCAACUACAGCCGUGCAGUUGGAACUGGCAGACUUGAGUGCACAAGAGGAAGGUGGAAUUCGUGGUGUAGCGGUGAAAUGCUUAGAUAUCACG